UGAUGGGCUAUUAUUCUAGUCCCAUUUAUAUUUCGUUGGGCCAGUUUAAUUCAUCAUUUUGGCCGAUUAAAUUGCCUUUUUGGGCUAAGAUUAAUUCUUUUCAGUCCACAUUAAUUAUUAUUUGGACCCCUAUUUUAAUUGUUUUGGGUCGAAGACUUUUUAAGUUGGGCUUUAAUUCUUUUAAAGCUUGAGCUGAAGUUACUCCUUUGAGCUAAGCCUAGCAGUAUCAAUUUUUGAUGGAGCCCAAUUAUUUAUCAGUAAUGAGCCGCCCAGUUUAUUAAUUAAUGUUUUUGGACUUCCGACUUUAAAGCAAGCCAUUAUUGUUUAUUUCAUUUAAGCCACUGGUUUAUUUAAUUAAUUGGCUACUCUCUUUUGAGCCUAUUAAUUAUUUGAGGUUACGCUAGUAAUGAUGCUUCUAUCGAAAAGCCCGAUAAUUUCUACAAGGUCACACCUCGUUUAAAGCCGAGUUAGUCCUUUUUCAAUCAAGUACAAAUGCGAGGUUUAUUUCACGACUAGAAUAUUCCGAUGAGGAAGGAAGAAUCACAGUUUUAUUCGACCGCGCUAGACGAGAAUUAGCUAAAUCUAUUAACGAGGAUUAAUAGUAGAAUUCCCGAUUAUCGCUCAGAGUAUUAGUUCAUGCAUACCAGAUUCAUGCAUAGUUAAAUUACGCUUUCUCAUUAAUUAAGAAUUUUCCUCGAGGCAAUGUCUUAUUUUAUAUUCUCGUGAUUAAGGUCAAGCGCGAGAGUAAGAACUACACAAGGAGUUAGAGUACCUUAGCAAAACUUUGCUAUCAGGUUGAGCUGUGAUGGGCGAUGAAGUGUUGUUGCUGAGUAGAGCUUUUGUCGAACUUAAAGUAGGCUCAGAAAGGAUACAUGUCUUCAUACAUGUAUCUCAGUUAUGCUUUCCGCUAUAAAUACUGAUUAUUUCAGUUACGCCUUCCGUUGCAAACUCUGAUAAUGUUUUAGCCAAGCCCCUAACGAUGCCUUUUUCCUUUUUAAGGAAUAUUUCACACGUAUUCAA
Molecule: long non-coding RNA, 1020 nt
Organism: Salvia miltiorrhiza (redroot sage)
Lineage: Eukaryota; Viridiplantae; Streptophyta; Magnoliopsida; Lamiales; Lamiaceae
Exons: 2
Source: RefSeq, a predicted model, not a curated record